AAGGGCACCACAAGAACGUGGAGCAUGUGGCUUAAUUUGACUCAACGCGGGAAAUCUUACCGGGUCCGGACACACUGAGGAUUGACAGACAGUAUUCAUGCCGACUGAAUUUCGACAUAUUUCAAAUGUGCGAGUUCUUUCAUGAUUGUGUGAUAGGUGGUGCAUGGCCGUUCUUAGUUCGUGGAGUGAUCUGUCUGCUUAAUUGCGUUUCAUAUUUACGAAUGUCGCUUACGUGAUUGCUGCAGACCUCGUCUCUUUAUUGAGUGCGACGCGUCUCUUCAACUCACUCGCACAUUCUCUUGAACGCAACGAGCGUGACCGCAACCUCUUGUUGUGUAUACCAAGUGUGUCGCUGGCUUUACUGCCAGCUCGCACUCCAAUGCACGUAUUUUGGUCACAUUGUCUCGGCCGUCGCACGCAGCCUCGGCUGUGUCGGCGCCAGCAAUGUCCAAAUAAACUUGAGGGACCGCUGUAACAAUUCUUUUAAACCAGAGGAAGGUUGCGGCAAUAACAGGUCUGUGAUGCCCUUAGAUGUCCCGGGCUGCACACGUGCUACAAUGAUCAGUACAGUGAGCAUCUUUGCAAUACCAGCGUUUGGAGGCCUGGCCAUGUCACUUGUGACUCGGCUUGCAGUCUCUACGUUGCCUUCCCAAGUCUGACAAGAUUUGGAAAUCCAUUGGAAGUCCUGAAUCAAUCCCUAUUGAGCAUUUUUCUCUACAGUGGCGCCAGACUUCGUCCCAUGUCGGUUCGCCUGACUUGUGCGGCACUUGGCGUCUACUAUAUGCAAUUGUCAAUUCAUAGUGGGGACAGA
RNAcentral lists this ribosomal RNA (811 nucleotides) under Hastigerina pelagica. RNAcentral's name for it is "SSU rRNA". It matches the Rfam family "Eukaryotic small subunit ribosomal RNA", at positions 1160 to 1606 of the family's 1831-position model. The record is from RNAcentral. Lineage: Eukaryota; Foraminifera; Rotaliida; Hantkeninidae.